GGUGAUCUUGUAAGGCGUUAGAAGAGGAAUGGCUCGCCUGUAUCGGGUCGACAUCGCACCUUGCACCACGCCCCCGCCUCUUUUGCUAAUUUCUCCAUAAAGUCCAACGGAAUCCCAGAAAUAGAACCGCGCGAAGUCUAAUUCACGAAGGUAACGCGCGUUGUUCAUGUGCUUCAGGACGAGAUCGACGUCUUGAGUGCUGCAUAUUCCUGCGGAAUGAUUAUUCAGCUUAUGAAAUAUUAUAUAAACACGGUGCGACGAUUACAACUGAGAAACUUUGUUAUUAAACUUCCGUUGUAAGUCACGUUCGAACGACAGGAAUCGAUACGACCUUCGUAAAUAUUUUUAAUUUAUGUGAGACAAGUGAAUCUGCAGAAUGAAGAUAAUUGAAUACAAUAGAUAGAUGACGUCGGCAGGUCAAUUGACGUCAAUAGUAGAAUUUCAAACGCAGGAAACACUGGUGACUAUGCGGCGCUAGCUUACGUGCAACAUUUCACACGGGUUCGUUCAAUUGUUAAACGGUAGACCGUUUUGGAAACUGAUUCACAUCGAAUGGCUAUCUUGUUUGUCGACUUUGGAAUUGUUAUCCGGUACGUUGAUACGCUGAGGAAGCGUCGAGUCAAGCUGUCGCUUAUCGAACAAGCAUUCGGUCGAUUUUGCGAAUCCGUAAUUUCAAGUGUAUCCACGUAGAAACUAUAAAUUCUCGGAUGAUACAAGGUGCAUUAAUUAAUCAUCUGUAAAUGCAAACGGAAGUACGCGAAUGUCAAGGAUUGAAGUGUUAAUCGAAAUGUCAAAGGCAUCUUCAUGCUGCUUAGAUCGAUUCAUUAAUAAAACAUGCGUAAGCUAAUUACGAACCGAAACAAUAGGGAAAGCGUUAACACGCAACGAUCUACAUAAUAAUUAAAUUUGCGUUCAACACUCGCAACUAUCUACAACAAUAUACAUACGAUGAUUUUACUCAAACGAGACUUGUAACUUGCAAUUCGCUAAAUAUUGAAUAAAAAUACCCGGAAGUAAACGGAAACAGAUGAAGAAAUACGAAGAACUGUUUGUCUUAGACAAUACUCCUAUCGUCCUAAAAGAACUAACUUCGAAUGUUUAUAAAAAUUCAAGUGCACCGACGAACAUAUUUUAUACUGCUGCGAGAACCGUGAAACCAGAGUCCAGUUUAUUCCCCAUGGAAACCUUGUUUGUUUACCAAACACCUAAUUUCACAUCUAAUUUCUUGAAACUUACACAAUUAAACUCUUUAAAAUACACAAUUCUAUUUGACAUCGAUAAUUCUGGGGUUCGAGUCCAGCUACAGCAACAAUACAAGACAUUUUCCUCGAACAACGAAACAACAUCAGAAGUAAUAUAACAAUAAAUUGAACAAUUCUACAAGCACAUCAGACGUAAAAACGGUAUUUACCAUAAGUAGUAGUGACGUCGAAGAUGCUGUUGUUCUUUUUCCGGAGCAGUCGACCGCUGAGGACCGUGAACGCACAUCUGAGGAAGUAGUUGACGUCGAACAGUAUGUAGAGGAUGAGCAAGAUCGUCAGGGCACAAGCGCAGACCAUUUUUCUGAGGCUGUUUUCUAAGGACAAGACGGCGCAGGGAAAUAGAGCGAGCUGCCGGCGCGCGGACGUCACUGUGCCACAGUUCACGGAAGACUGCGAGCGGCCACGGUGAAAUUCCAAACAGCCGGCUCGCUCCUUACUACAGGAAGACGCAACCGGUUCCUCGCGAGACGAACCUCUAUUUUAAUCAACCAACGGUACACGUUCGUUGCGUUUUCAACGGUCAAAGUACUAGGUCAUCGCGCACGUGACACAAGUCCCAUUCCUUCUGGUCGACUGUCAACAAUGUUCCUCACGUUUGUUUAUUAAUUUUCCGUUGAUUCCGUCGGAUAUUACGUUCGACGUGACACGUGCGUAAUUAGUUUGAUGCCGCGUUGAACGUUGGACGAUUAAAAGCUUAUUGCGAAGAAACGAUGGAUGCGUGUUAUCGGCGAAGCGGUAAAAUGGACGACCGAAUGUCACAUCAUUGGGUAAAUAAAGGUUUUUGUUUUAGCAACGGAGCGCGUUUUCGAUUGUUGCAGUGCGGCGGCGGCUUCGAUUCGCGAGAGAUAGGAAACAUUCGUGAAAAGUUAGUAAUCUUGGAAAAGGAACGAGAAAGAAGAUAAUCUGUUUUCAAUCGAUUUCUUAAUGUCAGUUAUAACUGGUCUUGGAACGUAACCUAAUAUCUUCAGGAAUUAUACACGAGUGCAGUAAAUCCGUUAACGUAUAAACUUAACACUAGAUUUGCGGAACGCGUCGAUUUGACGCGCAUGGAUUUCUAUAAACGCCACUUGGCAAACGUUUACGUCGUUUCAAUCGAUGCAAUCACGCGAGUACGCGUUUUAACGAUCUACUCUUAAAUCCCUAAUUUCCAGGAUGCAAACGAACGAACACCGAUGCUUCUACGAGCAAUAGACAAAACCGUGCUAAAGAAACAACAAAAGAAACUUAAGCCUAUCGUUAAAAAUCAAUGGAACACCGAGGCGGGCUGAUGAAGAACUUGAUGCGACGGAGGACUCGUCAACCAUCUAAAAAGUAUAAUAACGUCUCCGCAUACGUACGUGCACAAUGCUAGAGCUGUCGGGGCUGGCUAAGCCCGCGCCUACAUAAAUGACCGAACUACGAGAUGCGGCUUUCAAGUCGAAACAUUCGGUAGGAGGAGAGACUUUUCCACGCGGUUCGCCCGGAAACCGGCGCAGGCGAUGGAGACCUCGUACAACUUGAAGAAUCGAUUGUAAGUGCGCGCGCAGCUCCUGUUCCCCGGAAAGACGCCGAAACCGGCGAGGUGAACGGAGAAAGAAAAGGAAUGAAAACGUUUACGUCCCGAACCGCCUGGAAUGCGAUUCGCAGUCACGAUCCGCGUGAAGGCACGUCGAGUGCAUUGUAGAAAUAUAAACGCCUCUGUUCUCGGCAUCGGCUCGUAAAAUAGAUUGUUACGAUUCCCGUUUGUCCUGCAAAUGGCGUACCGCGCGAUUCGACCUCGCUUCCGAAACGAUCGUUCCGUCGACGCCGGGCUCGGGUGAUCAACGAUAAAAAAGAUUGUAAAUAACGUGGGUCGCGCGGAACCUCGAUCGACAACGAUCGUCAACGAAGAACAUCCGGCGGAGCCGAUCCACCAAGCUUUGGAAGCUCCGUUUUUACAGUAGCGCUCUAUCCUCGACCUCGGUGGAGUCUUCUUUGAAGUCACCGUGGCAGCCUUUUUGUGUAUAUACUAUGUAAGUACUUACGUAGUCCCGUGAUCGGGAUUCUAUUGAAACACCGAACCGCUCGAACACGCAUUUCUCCGCCGUUUAUCGCGGGGAGGCGAACCCACGGCCGGAAACCACGUCAUCGCGUCGCCUAGCAAAAUAGUUUCUCGUCUAUCUCUCUUUUUGUACUCUUUCUCUUUCUGUAUAUAUGUGUACACAUAUAUAUGUAUGUAUAUAUAUAUAUAUAUAAUAUAUACAUGUACAUAGAUAUAUAUCUAUACACAGGGUAUAUAACCAAACGCGUUACGAGCCAAUACUCACGAACGCAUUGACGUCGACGCGAUCGCCUUUUUUAAACCCUGCUGUACGUAAUCGUCUUUUUUAAACUGCACCGUACAAACAGGCUUUUUAUAAAUUGCGACGCGUUUAUGUACAUUUGUGUAACCUUCGCUGAGACCGCUGGUCGCUGGAAAAUCUUUUUCUCUUAAAUGCCGCGCGACUUGUUUUGCGGAUAACUGGAGGGGACGGGGAUUCUACCGGCGUGUUUCUACGUGUACCGCAACUAUCAACCCUUUGCGCUCGGAGAUUUUAAUAUGUUACGUUCCACGUGUAAAUUAUCGAAUAUUUAUAUUUAAACUGUCGCCUCGGAAGCGAUGUUACGUGUGCGAAGGGUUAAGCACUUGGUCAACCGAACGGGGAGGUUUGAUCCAUUACAAUUAGAAACGCGGUGUCUUUCUAAUUGUUUACUUCGUUUGUUACUUAACGAGUUUCGAAGUGGAAUUGUUCAUAAUUGAGGAUUAUCGCGGUUGACCAAGUGUUAAGUAUUAACCCUUGCGCUCAAUGAGCGACUAUCAGUCUCCAUUCGAUGCAACGCAAUAGAAUCGUCAAAUUCAAAAUUCUAUAUUGAACUUUCUGUAACGUAUCGACGUAUGAAAUAAAAUAAUUAAGUUCCUUCGUCAGCGCAGGACACUUUCUUGCGUUAGUUGCAAAUAGUAUCAUCGAUGCUUCAUCAGUGACGACUAUUUAUAACGAGAAACAUCGUCGAGAGCAAAGCGUCGAUAACAGGAGAAUCAAGUGUCGACUUCGAGGAAUGAUUCGUCGAGUUCGAUCGAGAACUUUAUCCUAAGCUCGAUAUUACGCUAGAAUUCAGGGGUCGAUGGAUUCGUGAACACAGGCUCGCAACAUCUACCGCGGGACACCCUGUAUACGUGCAUCUUGUUUCCCAUAGAUCAGAAGGUACUUUCUUUGACACCGUGUACACGUUCGCGUCCGAUCGUUUCGCAACGAUCUACAAGAGCGCGAUCAAGAUCACGGCCUGUAAAAGCUUUUAAGCGUAACGAUCACUCGUGUCCUGUCGCCUUGAAACGGUUGAACCCGAAGCUGACCCGUGAACAGUCCGAAGAGACCGGUGCGCCCGGCGAGUUCGUCGAACACGUUCGACCUUUAUACUGUCGUGGUUGCGUAGACGGAAGCGGAAACGACGCCAUUCGUGGUGGAAGGCGUAUCCUCCCUUUGUCAGCAAUUGGUCGUCACCGCAGCGGCCUGGCGGAGCAACGCCGACGAGAUUUCAUUGCUCUCUAGCCACCUGGCGACUUCCGGCGGCAUCUCCGGCCUGACGUGCGGCAUCUGCGGUAUAUGCGUGCGGUAAUAUAUGCGAUCAAUUUUAAUAUCAGCCAUUAAUAAAUCAGCCAUUCACUUGGCGAAGUGAUCAACUCUUAUUAGGACGCGAGGAGCAGGACAAUUCGAGGACACUGCGUACAUUGACGCACAGAAGUAUUUGAAAGUGAAACAAUAUUGAAUGAAUAAUUAAUUUUAAAUCAAUUUUAGGAAUCUUGAGAAGCGAACGUGUGUUAUAUGUGUGCCGUUCGAUUCGAAUGGAACGUAUGUGGGUGGAAACAUGGAAAUUUUGAAAUAUUCUAUAUCCGGUAACAUUUCCAUUAAUAUAAUUCAAAUGUUUACGUAGAUGUUUGCUAUGUUUCUAUCAAUAUAGAUAUAUUGGCAAUCAUUUCCAUCAAUAUAUCGACACAAUCAGUUCCAUUACAGAUGUGUUGAUCAAGUGUUUCGACAUUGAAGUUUGGGAGUCUUCGGAAUGCGGAGUUGGUCACCGACUUGUGAACGACGAAAGUGGUUUCUCCAGUAUCAGAUCAUUUCGUGCGUAUCUAAUCUUGUUUCGUGAUAGAACUUUCUAAAUGUUCCGCUGGAUCACCGAAUUCCUUAUGACCAUUUCGAAUGGCGAGUCUCGUAAUUAGGUUCCACGAUACCGUGGUGUUGCGCGGAUUGCGCGAAAUACGACGUUGGUUACGAAAUGAUCAGACACAAUCAGAAAUCUUUCGUUCGGAAUGGAGUGUACCUGAGUGACGCCUGCCUCCACGUUACCGGUCUGUUUCACUCCUCGUUCCAUGAGGGAUCCGAUCACAGCCUCGGCGCUACAAUCCAACAGUCUUUGCCUGCAAAUCGCGAUCGCCCGGAUGAACCCGUCGUUAGGGGUGAUGAACCUGUGCUCCAUGAACACCGACCUCUCGUCCCAAUAUAUUAUCUGAAAGAGGAGAAUGAUUCGAAUCAAUUAAGAAAUUAUGUUAAUGCCGAGAUUGAAUUAAGUUGAUCAUUAGAUUUUUAAUGAAAUGAAUCGUCCAGGUUCGUCAGUUCUUAAUGUUCCAAUGUUUAAUUCUAUUGAUUGACCCAGUUUAACGAACCUUCAAUUCAAUCUAUCGUUCAAUCUUUAAUGCAACUAAUUGUCUGAUUCUUAAUCAACUCAGCUAGACACAUGCAAAUCGUUAUAUCCUCUUAUUGACUGCACAUAGAUUUUUUCUUUGGUUUAUGUUAGUAUUAUCGUGGAAACCUGUUAAAGGGAACUUCAUCUUGCACACAUUUCCGAGUAUUUUUAGCGUCCACGCCAAUCAGUGUGAUGCAAUACUUACUAUCAGUACUAUAAUUGGCAUUAUUAUCAACGUUUCUUGUUUUCACGACAGUUAUUAUUCUUAUUAUUCCUGUCGCACAAGCGAGCAUCGUAAGCACCAAGCUAUAUUCACUGAUUUAUACAAUGCACUGUAAAAACGAAGUGCAGUCGAGGAUUACGCUGAGAAUGUUAAAGGUAAGUGAAAGAUACGAUGAAGUAUAAACAAACUUAAUAAGAACAUAGAAAAAUCCUGUAAAAACACGACGAUGGAUAAAGAAUUCAAACAAUCUUCCGAGGAAUAACAAAGUAGUCACACUAAGUCUUUCGAUCCUGUCGAACUGUCAAUAAAUCAUGUCGCAACGACACAUGCAAAAUAUUCCUUAGAAAGAAGCCAUUUCCUGCGACAAUGAUUCGCAAAUAAUAUUAAUGACUGCUCGAGGAAAUACGGUCGCGCAAUAUCUUCCAGCCGGUUCCAUAAAAAGCACGAGACACCCGACCGAGGAAUAGAACAAUUAAAUCUUCGUUUUACGACAAACCGUCUGAUUGUCUACGAUUUCAUAUUCCGUGUACACGGCCAUCAAAUUGAUCGCUAAGAUGGAUAGAAUGCAUCGUCCGAGAUGCGUCACGCGCUCGCUUUGUGCAUACGAAACUGUAAUCGCCGGUCGGAUCUGUCAUUCGAAGCCGGAAAUCGGUUUCGGCGCGAGGCAUUCGCCCCGAACAGAGCAAAAGAUCAAAUUUUAUCUGCAAGCAAAACGAACAGAAUUCUGCGCCUAUAUUCCUGAAUUAUUAUACAAAU
Non-coding RNA from Nomia melanderi (Alkali bee), 6918 nucleotides. The record is from RefSeq and is a predicted model, not a curated record. Lineage: Eukaryota; Metazoa; Arthropoda; Insecta; Hymenoptera; Halictidae.